CCUACGGUGGGCAGCAGUGAGGAAUAUUGGUCAAUGGACGCGAGCCUGAACCAGCCAAGUAGCGUGAAGGAUGACUGCCCUACGGGUUGUAAACUUCUUUUAUAUGGGAAUACAGUGGGUCGCGUGUACCUUUUUGUAUGUACUUUAUGAAUAAGGAUCGGCUAACUCCGUGCCAGCAGCCGCGGUAAUCCGGAGGAUCCGAGCGUUAUCCGGAUUUAUUUGGUGUAAAGGGAGCGUAGAUGGGUUGUUAAGUCAUUUGUGAAAGUUUGCGGCUCAACCGUAAAAUUGCAAUUGAUACUGGCAGUCUUGAGUACAGUAGAGGUAGGCGGAAUGCGUGGUGUAGCGGUGAAAUGCUUAGAUAUCACGAAGAACUCCGAUUGCGAAGGCAGCUCACUAGACUGCAACUGACACUGAUGCUCGAAAGUGUGGGUAUCAAACAGGAUUAGAUACCCUUGUAGUC
This 460-nucleotide ribosomal RNA is filed under the name uncultured bacterium. RNAcentral describes it as "partial 16S ribosomal RNA". It matches the Rfam family "Bacterial small subunit ribosomal RNA", at positions 338 to 795 of the family's 1533-position model. The record is from RNAcentral.